RNAcentral lists this ribosomal RNA (392 nucleotides) under uncultured bacterium. RNAcentral describes it as "partial 16S ribosomal RNA". It matches the Rfam family "Bacterial small subunit ribosomal RNA", at positions 523 to 917 of the family's 1533-position model. The record is from RNAcentral.
AUACGGAGGAUGCGGGCGUUAUCCGGAUUUAUUGGGUUUAAAGGGUGCGUAGGUGGUAGAUUAAGUCAGCGGUGAAAGUUUGUCGCUCAACGAUAAAAUUGCCGUUGAUACUGGUUUACUUGAGUAUAGUUGAAGUAGGCGGAAUGCGUGGUGUAGCGGUGAAAUGCAUAGAUAUCACGCAGAACUCCGAUUGCGAAGGCAGCUUACUAAGUUAUAACUGACACUGAAGCACGAAAGCGUGGGUAUCAAACUGGAUUAGAUACCCUGGUAGUCCACGCAGUAAACGAUGAUUACUAGCUGUUUGCGAUAUACGGCAAGCGGCCAAGCGAAAGCAUUAAGUAUUCCACCUGGGGAGUACGCCGGCAACGGUGAAACUUAAAGGAAUUGGCGGG